RNAcentral lists this ribosomal RNA (252 nucleotides) under uncultured bacterium. RNAcentral's name for it is "partial 16S ribosomal RNA". It matches the Rfam family "Bacterial small subunit ribosomal RNA", at positions 524 to 775 of the family's 1533-position model. The record is from RNAcentral.
UACGAAGGGGGCUAGCGUUGCUCGGAAUCACUGGGCGUAAAGGGUGCGUAGGCGGGUCUUUAAGUCAGGGGUGAAAUCCUGGAGCUCAACUCCAGAACUGCCUUUGAUACUGAGGAUCUUGAGUUCGGGAGAGGUGAGUGGAACUGCGAGUGUAGAGGUGAAAUUCGUAGAUAUUCGCAAGAACACCAGUGGCGAAGGCGGUUACCUGGUCCUGCACUGACGCUGAUGCACGAAAGCUGGGGGAGCAAACGG